UGGAGGUUGGUUAGAUUGUGAGUGUCAGAUCGAUGAGAAGAUGAUGUAAGGUGGUGAGUAUGCACUUUGCAGAUGGAGGGAGAACUUUGUAGUUUGUGUGUUGUUGGAACUUAGAAUGAAGUAACAGGAGGUUUUGUUCUUUUGAAGGGAAGAAGAAAUGGUAUAUGGUAGAGAAUGAGGGACUUGGAUACGAGAGAAAGAAAGAGUAUAAUGUUGAAGAUGGAGUGGGGUGAAGG
Molecule: long non-coding RNA, 236 nt
Filed under: Lathyrus oleraceus (garden pea)
Lineage: Eukaryota; Viridiplantae; Streptophyta; Magnoliopsida; Fabales; Fabaceae
Description: Pisum sativum (pea) long non-coding RNA (PSAT_LNC040521)
Source: RNAcentral